UGAAGGAUCUUUGGAAAGCUGGACUGGCC
Molecule: non-coding RNA, 29 nt
Filed under: Mus musculus (house mouse)
Lineage: Eukaryota; Metazoa; Chordata; Mammalia; Rodentia; Muridae
Source: RNAcentral